Molecule: long non-coding RNA, 2430 nt
Organism: Lolium rigidum
Lineage: Eukaryota; Viridiplantae; Streptophyta; Magnoliopsida; Poales; Poaceae
Exons: 8
Source: RefSeq, a predicted model, not a curated record
CGAAGCCAUGUUUAGACCCAUGUUUAGUUUUAUGUUUUUCAUAUUUCAAGAAGCGGGUAGUGGCUAAAAAACUACCUGUAGCAGGUAAUGGCUUAAAAUAUCACUGUGUAUGUGGAAACUAUUAUUUUUCUUAUGAAUUUUAUAUGUAUAUCUUCGCUCAGUUAUGCAGGUUGCUUACUACUAUUUUCCAUUUUAUGCUCGCAUUUAUUGAGUCAAAUUGACACAAAGAUUUGUGGUUAUCAUGCAAAUCGAUUGCUGUCAGGUAAUUAAAGCAGAGAUUGGUUGCUUGCCUAUAAAAGAUGACAAGAUUGAUGCAAAAGUUGUACAUGAUCAGCUUUUUUAUGACUUUGCUAUUAAAGGUGCACUCGUGCAGCAGGAUGUUAUGGCUCUAGGGAAGGAGGUAUGGCCCUGCAAAUGAGAUGGCACGUCUCUUGGUGAGAAAACAGGAGACAAGGACGAUUUAGUUGGAAUCAGAUAAAAAAUGGGCCUCACAACUUCAAGAGCAACAUUAAAGUGUCUUGAUAAAGGUUUGGCAAGCUGGCCUCAAAUUUAGAGGUACAGACCGUAAACUUACUUGCAGCAUGCCAGCAAAAGUGGUUUCUGCCCUCUGAAAUUGCAUGCUGACAGUGACCGGUUGGUCCUUCUCCGCCACUUUCAGUGUUUCAGACAGCCAUAUCCUCUAGCAAAUGCCGGUUGGAUUGGCUCAAGGAACAAAACCAGAUGAGAUCUCUACUGCAAAAAUUCUUUACAAUGGGAAUAAAUAUCCAAGUUGUUAAUUAAUUUUGUUAUCAGAUUUCCCCAAGAAUGUUGAAACCUAUGUCCACAUGGUAUGCAUACAAUAGAUUGGCAUUUGGAUUUUGGUGUUCUGACUAUGAGGCUUUCUUUCCUUGGUUGGACUAGGAGCGGAACAAUACAUGAGCCUCUUUCAGUAUGAGUAGAACAUGGCCUCAUUUGCAUAUUUUCAGAUGCACUUAUGAGCUCUAGGCUUUAUGAUAAGAUGAGCAUGACAGGGAUAUGACGAUGAACCGGCGACCAUGGAAUUUGACAAGGGCUUCAGGAUAACAUCCAAACUCGACCUGAGCCUUUUUCCCCUCUGGUAAAGCUCCUUCUAGACUGCGAUAUGAUAUACAUUUCCCAUGCAUAUCGUUAUUUUUGGAUUCACCCUGAAGGAUGAUACUUAUGAGCACAUGUUUUACUUUUUUGCUUGGUGCUUAGGCUUCUCCUGCCAGGACUGAGAAUGUGUGACAGAUUUUUUUUAUUAACAUUACAGUUGAAGUUUCAGUGUUGCUUCGGUUCGGUUGCAUCUCUGUUGUGAGCAGAUAUAUAGUACCAUAAAAGCCCUUGUUUAUCUUUGGUUAGUUUGUGUUCAUGGAAAUAAAAGGUUGUCGCAAAACUAUUGCUGCUUCUGUACCUUUUAUUUCUUAAUCCUUUCUUUGUUGUUCUUGUUCUUCAUACAUCGAUGUAGAAAUUCAGCCUCUAGGAUCUUACCAUGAUAUUCAUACGUAUUCUUGUUUCUGGCUAUUUAUGCCUUUUGUAUGGUUGUUUCUUUCCUUUUAAUGUGUAUUUAUACAUGAAAAAAAAGGAUUAGUGCCCAAACGUUGUGCUUUCUCUAAUUUGUUGUCCCUUAUACCUGCUUCUGUGUUGGUCCCUUUUUCCCGUUUCUCGGCAUUGCUUCUGGGUGUUUGUUUCUUGUUUUAUUAUUGAGUUAUUUUCAUGGAAAAAAUGCCUCGGUGCGCACACGUUGGUGUUUCCCACCUUUUCUUUGUUACGCUUGCUUCUAUUUGGUUGCUUCUUGGUUGUGAACAAAUAAAGCUCUCAGAAGUCUUUGUUUCCCUUUAAUUAGUUUUAUUCAUAGAAAUAAAAGGUUGCCGCACAGCAGUUGCUAUUUCUAUACUUUCCCUUUCUUAACUCUGUAGUGUUGUUGUUGUUUUUUGACCAGCUUUAUUACUUGUGCAUUGUGGUUUAGAUGUUGGUUUAUUUCUUUCGCUUGCAUCUGCUUGGUCGUUCUUGUUCUUCCCUGGAGUGUUUUUCUUGAUACAUCUGUGUACGAUUUCCAGCCUCUAUGAUUUACAACGGUAUUCUUACGUGUUCUUAUUUGAUGAUCAUUUGUUGGUUUACCGUUAUGCUUACUUCACAAGGUUAUGAGCUUACUCUUGACUUCUUUGUGCAAGGCCUAUGAGCUUUUAACCUAUGUGGAAACAUUCCCGGUUCUUCACAAGGUAAUGUCAGCAUCUCUGUAUAAGUUAGAUCUGAUGAUCCUUCAAAUGAAAGGUUAUAUAUGGUUAUCUGACACCUUCUGCUUCUCUAUCUGCAAAAUUAUUAGUUAGAUUAUUGAUUAUUAGGGCCAAUAGUCGUUCACUUCAUCAUUGGGUAAACGCAUUAGCUGUUGGCAUGUCCUUCUGCUCAAACUGGAUAUAUCUUUUAUUUGAA